CAAACUAAUUAGGGAAUAUUUCCCAAAAAACUCACGCCUAUCCAUUCAUUCAUUUCCAACAUUUUCAAAACCCUGGCUUCUCCACAACCUCAACUCCAUUAGCCCCUUCUCCAUUGCAGAUCCUCUCCUCUCAAAACUACAAGUGAUAAUUGAUCAAGUUCUCACUCUCGUAAAGUUCAAUAUCACGCCUUUCCCUUCCAUUAUUUUCCUUACAUCAAUUUACUUAUGCUAUUUCUCUCCCCUGAGUCUCCUCGUUCUUCAAUGGCGGCGAUCCUAGCUUGUUCAUAAGUUUCUGGUGGUAUUUUAUGUGAAGGUAAUCAAUCUAGCGCUUGGAGUGAGGAGUGAGGAAUGCGGACUGCACUGUUGCCGGGGGUUCUGACGUUGUGAGUGAACGAGAAGAAGGCAGUUCCAAUAUCAAGGAAAUUAAUUCGACAGUAUUGAUUGAUCUGAAGUAGGAUAACAAUUUUCAAAAGAAUUUAUUGAGUCCAUGGCCUCUUUUAACGAGGGUGUACUACACAAAGUUUUGAGCUACAGUGCUUAAUGCACAAAUCAGGAGUCUACAAGACCGACUGAACAGAAUCGAUAAAUCAUUGAGAAGUAGCUCAACAUCUGAAACUCUUUUCAACUCCAGUGUGGUUGUAUUGAGCUCGAGUUCCACGCUCUUCCCAUGUUGUUUGUCUUCCUUCUCUGAUUGCAGUUCCUCAAGGGUGUAAAACAUCCAACUGUCUUGUUAGGUAAGCUAGUUAUGUAUGUCCGUCAAAUAUGCGGAGUGCUUUGUAGUUUAUGAAUUGAAGCUUCAAUAUUCAAGUUAAUUGGAGUUGCUUAGAGAUAUAUGCCUAACAUUUGUAAUGUUUUUCCAUUUGAUUAUGAGCUUGUUGUACAAGUAGGUAUGAAGGAGAUCUCUCGGUUAAUGCAGUAACAGAUUGGUUUGCAAUAACGAUACUGAGGUUAACUCGCAUUCCUUAUUACACAAAGGACACAUUGAUUUGCAGAGAGCAAGAGCAAGAGAAGUUGGUAAAUCUCGUCAUCCCAUAUAUAAAUCAUACCAUCCAGAUAGAUGAUAAAGCACUCCAAGAAAAACAAGGUCAAAAUAACGACUCUUAUGGGAAAGCAAAUGUAAGGCUAGUUUCCGAUACCGCGGCCUCCCGCUCUAACUUCUAUCCAAAUACCAUAUGAAGCUGAAGAACAACAUAGAGUAUUUCUGUUGAGUAAAUUCUUAGUGAAUAUAUGAUUUCAACAAAACAAGGAGAUGAAUUUGCCAUUUUUUUUGUACGUACAUAGAUUAGGUUUAUUUUAGUUGUAAUAUUCUUUCUGUUUUCAAAAGGAUUGGAAUAUGUAUUACAUUUAGUUAUGGCAUUGGUGGCAAUGACUUGUAGUAUAU
This is a long non-coding RNA of Spinacia oleracea (spinach), 1381 nucleotides long. RefSeq lists it as uncharacterized. The transcript has 7 exons. The record is from RefSeq and is a predicted model, not a curated record. NCBI's taxonomy places the organism in Eukaryota, Viridiplantae, Streptophyta, Magnoliopsida, Caryophyllales, Amaranthaceae.